This 1108-nucleotide long non-coding RNA is filed under the name Struthio camelus australis. RNAcentral's name for it is "lncRNA (ENSSCUG00000001078.1)". Lineage: Eukaryota; Metazoa; Chordata; Aves; Struthioniformes; Struthionidae. The record is from RNAcentral.
AUGAAACAUUACAGCAUGCAUCGGUGCCUUGUGUGCUAGUCAUUCGUAGCUGUGUGAAUAUGUGACUGUCUGGAGCUGAACAGUCACUGUUCAAUGACUUCCAAAUUUCUCCUGGCACUUGCUUUGCUCCAAAGCUUAACUAGAACGUGUGUCUCCUCUUUAUUUCACUUUAUCGUGGCAAUUCCCUUCCCAGGGAAGGCUUGAGCUCUGGCUUGAUUUUAGUGUGCUGAACUGCAUUUGAAGCAGCGGGUGAAUGAAGUCCCCAGGCUUGCUUCAAGCGCUCUUUAUCACUAGAUUGCAUUUCCAUGAAUUUGUUCUCAUGUAGCAUAACCGGAUAGAGUGUCAAAGAAAUACCUCGGAAUUGUUUCCAGUGCCCCAGAAAGCAUUUUCUCACAGUAAAUUUCUCUACUUUGUUUACUUUUAUAUUUUGCACUGCUGUCUAAUUGCACUGAAUUCGUGGUCUUGAAGGCUUCUUUUCAGAUUUUUAAUGCUAAUCUCUUGGUUUGCUCUUCUUUAUGUCACAUAUUUUUUCUGUAUCAAAUUCUUCCUCUGUCUCCACAUUAAUCCUGAGUCUCAUUAGUUGACUUUCUGCCUCUCGUUUCAUUUUUUUACAUCCGGUUGUAUAUCUAACCUCCCCGCCAUAUUUCAUGCAAUAUGAACACAUGCCAGCUGUUAGGCAGACAGAUUUGGAAACCAUGCUCCUCCAGUCGUGGGAAAAACACAGUAUAAGGGAUAGCAGCAUACGUGUGUUUUCCUUCACUGCCAUGACAAAGAACCUUCUCCAGGAAACGAAUGUUUUGGAAAGGCUGCAGCUCUGACAGCUCCUCUGGCUUUUUUGGGAGGUGGGGUCCUUUCUACUUAAAAGUUUAUGUUUCUCUGCUGAGAAGAGACAGUGCAAAGAACUGAAGAGCACGUGUCAGAGCAAGAACAGACGUCUGGCAGGAGAAGGGCUGAACUUCACACGCUCGAUACCUCCCAGGAAUCAGCUGGCAGCCCACUGAAGUCUAUGGGAAUUUUUGACUGGCUUCAAUGUGUGUUGGGUCAGACCCAAAGCGACUCUAUUCAGCAAAAUACUUAGGUGGAUUUUACUUCAGGCACGAGCUUCAUG